UGGGGAAUAUUGCACAAUGGGCGCAAGCCUGAUGCAGCAACGCCGCGUGAGGGACGACGGCCUUCGGGUUGUAAACCUCUUUUAGUAGGGAAGAAGCGAAAGUGACGGUACCUGCAGAAAAAGCACCGGCUAACUACGUGCCAGCAGCCGCGGUAAUACGUAGGGUGCGAGCGUUGUCCGGAAUUAUUGGGCGUAAAGAGCUCGUAGGCGGUCUGUCGCGUCUGCUGUGAAAACCCCGAGGCUCAACCUCGGGCCUGCAGUGGGUACGGGCAGACUAGAGUGCGGUAGGGGAGAAUGGAAUUCCUGGUGUAGCGGUGGAAUGCGCAGAUAUCAGGAGGAACACCGAUGGCGAAGGCAGUUCUCUGGGCCGUAACUGACGCUGAGGAGCGAAAGCGUGGGGAGCGAACAGGAUUAGAUACCCUGGUAGUCCACGCCGUAAACGUUGGGCGCUAGAUGUGGGGCACCAUUCCACGGUUUCCGUGUCGCAGCUAACGCAUUAAGCGCCCCGCCUGGGGAGUACGGCCGCAAGGCUAAAACUCAAAUGAAUUGAC
RNAcentral lists this ribosomal RNA (551 nucleotides) under uncultured bacterium. RNAcentral's name for it is "partial 16S ribosomal RNA". It matches the Rfam family "Bacterial small subunit ribosomal RNA", at positions 355 to 914 of the family's 1533-position model. The record is from RNAcentral.